UCAGCUUUAAAUAACAAUUUAAAGCCAGAGCAUCAAACUGUCAAAAAUUUUGCAGCCGUUAUGCUAACCAAUAUCCAAAUUCAUCCAUACAUAUUUUAACAUCAAAACCAGCAUCCAAAUUCAAAGAUAAGUCGGGCAACCAACAUCCACCAAGUCACACAAAUAGAAAAAACAAAGACAAAGUGUCAACAUUCAAGUAAAUGUCUUCAACAGGCAAUGUCAAUUGUCAAGAAAUAACCAUACUUACAAAAGUGAAACAAAUUUUGCAAUUAAAGCAAUAAAACAACAGCUUCUUGUCCAUUCCAAGAUAAUCCUUUCCAACUUUCCAAUUUCAACUGCAGGCCCUAUCACAAAAAAAAUAAUUUAAGUAAUAAAAUAGUAGUGGUAAAAUCUAAAACAAGAUAUUUGAAGAGGAAUCGAAGUGUUAAACACAAGCUAUGUACCUUUCCAAUUAUCACAUUCAUUUUAUGGGAAGUAGAAUCUCUUUUGCUGCCUUCAAUUUCUGCAAAAUAAUAAUAAUAAGAAGAAUAACAAUAAGUAGUAAACUAAUUUUGUAUCAAUAAUAUGAAUUUAAAAUAAACUUACUUUUAUCUAAUAAUAGCAUACAACUUUGAAAGUUCAAUUCACAAACUACUUUUAAGAGCUUUUCUAUACAGAUUUUGCAGGAAUCACAUGAAAACCAUGAGUCUUUAAAGGUCAUCAGAUCUUAUCAUUUACUAGGGAGAAAUUAUCAUUGUAAUAGACAUUGGAAUACUGAAUUCUUUUGUAUCAUAACUCUAAUUUGCAACUCAAUCCAUUCUCUAUAAAAGAAAACAUGCCUAAAACGAAAAGAAAAUGAUCCGUGGAUGGUAUGGUAGAGUCUUUUAGUGUUAAAGGAGAACAGUUGCAAGUCAUUCCAUUACAAAAACUAGCCAGCGUUGUCUGACGGUUUUUUCAUUUAGAAACAAACAUUUAAUAAUGGCGGCAUGCCACAAAUCUAUCAAUAUAUCCGGAGGAGAAACUUUAUUACUACUAUUUUGCUUUAACAACUAGUACUAGCAUUUCUCUGCCUCCUUAAAUUAAAGUUCAAAAAUCAUUAAUUUUCCAAAAAAAAAAAGAUCCAAAAAAUUUAUAUUCCAUCUACAAGCUUUUCGGAAAGUAUAAAAUCCUAAACCCCAAUUCUGAAAUUUAAUACUAGAAAACCAAAAAAAAAAGAAGAAAACCUCAUUUUUUUUUCACUUCGGAUACGCUCAAUUCGUUUUGAACUCAACUAAAUUAAAUUGUUAAAAACCUGCUUAAUUUCAAAGGGCCCUAAAUAAAUACUCAGAAUUCUAGUUUGGUCCAGCAGAGAGGGCGUUGACUUGCAUAGCGCAAUGCCUCCAAAUGGCCGAAAUUUAUGAUUGUUUCUUUUGCAAACAAAAAAUUUUCAUAACCCUCUCGGGCACUCACCAUGGAGGUCAGGUUACCAACAUUAGUUGACUUUUUACUAAGGUGCAUAUUCGCAAAGGAGCAGGUCUUGGUAAUUAGAAAGUAAGCCCAAGGUGCAGAUUCUCUAAAGGUCUCUAAAUAUUCAUCUUCGGUGACCAAAGAAAGCUGAUAAGCAAAAGAAUGAAAAGCAUUCGAAGUCACAAAGUACAAAAGGGAUCACAUCUUACCUUCUGCACACCUGCACCUGCUUCCAAGAUCCACCUUCCGCUAGCUGCACAACUGCACUUGCUGCACAAUCCACUUCCAAUCGGCGGAUGAUGACAAUAGAGAAAAGAAACGACUGGAGUUAAAUCUUGCCGAAUGGGUUUGAUUUGGAAUUGGAAUUAGGGAUUGAGGUGAGGAAUUGGGAUUUUAGGGACUGAGGUGAGGAGCUCUUCAAGAAGACGGUGGACA
Molecule: long non-coding RNA, 1860 nt
Filed under: Coffea arabica (coffee)
Lineage: Eukaryota; Viridiplantae; Streptophyta; Magnoliopsida; Gentianales; Rubiaceae
Description: long non-coding RNA (CARA_LNC000893)
Source: RNAcentral